This is a long non-coding RNA of Dendrobium catenatum, 1875 nucleotides long. RefSeq lists it as uncharacterized. The transcript has 3 exons. The record is from RefSeq and is a predicted model, not a curated record. NCBI's taxonomy places the organism in Eukaryota, Viridiplantae, Streptophyta, Magnoliopsida, Asparagales, Orchidaceae.
CCACAGGUUUAGCUUCACCUCAAAGGCAUCUCAUAAAGUAAUCUCACCCUUAUCUUGAGCGCACCAUUUAUGUGUCAAUUGGGCUGCUGCUGGAUUCUUUCAUCUAGGAAUUUAUGUACAACUUUUGAGUCCGAUGAAGAUUAUAUUACUGAAUGAAAUGCCCUCUCCGUUUGCUUAGUUGAGGAGUUUGAUAGGCUGAGCAACUGCUCCCUUCCUUUUGCUGUCUUCUUGGACUUCAGGUAUUUUUGAACUUUCAAAUUGUUCUUGUUUUACUGUGCUUAUGUUUUUUUUUUUUGGGGGCUUUUUGAUAGAAGCUCAAAUUAGUUAUGUUGAUUAAACUUAUUUGUCUCUUAUACUGAUAAAGGUUUUUAUGCUUUUAGUUAUUGCCUGACUUGCUUUAGGUCUUGACGAUAUUAAUCCAUGUAGAUAUUUGAAUUAACAUUUUAUUAUUAGAAGGAUAAUCUUUUUCUAACUGCUGGCACUUCCAGGUACUAAUAGAUGGUCGCAUCUGUUUGUUCAUGUCCAUCUGAAGAAGUCUAUGGUGUUGUUGUUUCGUUUGAUUGGCCAUGUUGAGUUAGAAUCCGUGGCUUUUACAACAGAACAGUUUAAGUUGGUCAUGGUCUAAUACAAGUCUAGUUACAUGGAUUCCUAAGCACCUUUUAUUACCAGCUUGAUUCAUACUCAUGAUGUUUCCUUUGGCCUUCCGAGGAAUGACAAAAUGUUCAACCUAAAUUUCUGUUUUCUACUUGUAAUUUCUCGUCAUUUGAUUUGUCAUGUUCACAACUAAGGCUUCGUUUGGGAUGGCUUUUUAACUGCUUAAAACAGUUUUUUUAGCACAAAAUUUUUAAUUUUUUACUAAAAAACUGUUUUAAGAAACAAGAAGAAAGCCAUCCCAAAUAAAGCUUAAGUCAGAUAUCUAGAAGUUAUUGUGCUGAAAAGUUAGACAUUGUGACAGAUAUAUCUUUAUCAUCUCUCUAUCUCCUUGUUUAUGAACGAUCUUAGUGGUUGGUGCCCAUCAUGCUUUAUAAAACUUUAUUUCUCUUUCAUUAUUACAUCUAUCUUUUCUCCAGCAGUAACUGCUAACAAAUUCCUUUGUUCAACCAUCACAUCACCCUCAUCAUUAUUUUCUUGAUGGCCCUGGGAAAUUUUUAUUUUCCGAUUCAAACUAAUGCAUUUGGUAUGUUUAUAUCUGCUGUCAUAUCUAAUGCUUCCUUACAAGAUAUGUAUUAAGUUCUCGAUCAAGAAAAAAAAAAAAUUCUGCAGUUGUAUAGCACUUAAUGUCCGGUACUUGAAUUGCCACAUCAUGACAUCAAAUCUUCAAUCAUUCGGUGAUGUUUAUGCUUCAUUGAAUCCAGAGAACCUUGCUUGCUUGUGCCAAUUUACAAUCAUAAAUAUAAUUCAAUCUAUUGUUCAUAUUCUUGAGUGUUUUUUGGUCCAUGAAGGCUUAUUUUCAGGGAGAUAUACAGCCUUACAAGCUUGGUUGGGUUUUGCUGGGGUCUUAAAGCAAGGGUUCUUCUCUACAAAAUAGUGGAAAUAUGCAUACCCUUCAAAUGAUUUCUGUUGUUUCUUGUGGAUCAUGAAGUUAUUUUUCUUACACAGGAAGUGUGUAUUAUGUAUUAUGUCCGCCAGCUCUGCUGAAUGGUUUCUGUGAUGAAUUUAGCCGUUAGUCUGGAAUAAUUAUAUUCCUUGUUAAAUGUUUAAUGAGGAAUAUAUAGUAUGUGCACACAAAAUAAAUUUAGUUCUCAACCUAAGCUUGCACUAGCUUGUGAUGAAUUGGCUCAGCUCUAACAACCUUUUACUUGGUUGGCUCAGCUCAUUGUUAGUCUUAAGCAAAUGAUGUCGUUUUUAUUAAGUUAGACCUCACCAUUUUUUUUU